GAUGAACGCUGGCGGCGUGCCUAACACAUGCAAGUCGAGCGAAGCGAUUUAGCGGAAGUUUUCGGAUGGAAGUUAAAUUAGACUGAGCGGCGGACGGGUGAGUAACGCGUGGUAACCGUGCUCAUACAGGGGAGUAACAGUUAGAAAUAGACUGCUAAUACCGCAUAAGCGCACAGCAUCGCAUGAUGCAGUGUGAAAAACUACCGGUGGUAUGAGAUGGACCCGCGUCUGAUUAGCUAGUUGGUGAGGUAAAGGCCCACCAAGGCGACGAUCAGUAGCCGACCUGAGAGGGUGAUCGGCCACAUUGGGACUGAGACACGGCCCAA
RNAcentral lists this ribosomal RNA (326 nucleotides) under uncultured bacterium. RNAcentral describes it as "bacterial SSU rRNA". It matches the Rfam family "Bacterial small subunit ribosomal RNA", at positions 28 to 334 of the family's 1533-position model. The record is from RNAcentral.